GAUGAAGAACGUAGCGAAAUGCGAUACUUGGUGUGAAUUGCAGAAUCCCGUGAACCAUCGAGUCUUUGAACGCAAGUUGCGCCCGAAGCCAUUAGGCCGAGGGCACGCCUGCCUGGGCGUCACACGUCGUUGCCCCCCCAUCUACUCCUUCGGGAUUGGGGGGGGCGGAUGAUGGCCUCCCGUGCGCCUCGUCGCGCGGUUGGCAUAAAUGCCAAGUCCUCGGCGACGCACGCCACGACAAUCGGUGGUUGCGAAACCUCGGUUGCCCGUCGUGUGCGGUCGUCGCGCAUCGAGGGCUCGAAAAAAUUGUCGGGCUCCGGCUCGGCUUUCAACGCGACCCCAGGUCAGGCGGGGUUACCCGCUGAAUUUAAGCAUAUCAAUAAGCGGAGGA
Molecule: unclassified non-coding RNA, 391 nt
Filed under: soil metagenome
Description: partial contains 5.8S ribosomal RNA, internal transcribed spacer 2, and large subunit ribosomal RNA
Rfam family: 5.8S ribosomal RNA (bases 1-122)
Source: RNAcentral